UAUUAAUUCGACUGAGUUGAGGUAAGAACAUAGUAAAAUAUUGAAAAACAGUGGUGUUUUCCUUUAAAGUAAAACAAAAGUAUAUGUUGAUUUGAUAUUAUUUUUACAGUAUUCAUAUGUUUGCAUUUUUACAGGAAAAUCUGUAGGGGCACUCCUUUUGUAUGCAUCAGUUGUUAAUUUUAUUUUCUAAUUAUAUUUACAUCCCAUUUAGUUAUUUAGCAGACAUUUGUGAUGUACAUCACAAGGAAUUUGACAAGUAAAAGGUACAAUAGCUGUACUAUUACAAUUCCAUGCCAGAAUAUUAAAAUAAACUAAAGGAAGCCACUUUAAGUAUGUACCUCAAUUGGCAGAGCAUUGCAUUAGCUGUGGAAAAAGUCAUGGGUUCAAUCUUCAGGGAGCUCCAAGUCAGUUUGGAUAAAAACAUCUGCCAAAUGCAUAAACGGAAAUGCAAGGACACAUUAUUUUUUUAAUAAAUCAAAUAAUGUAGUAUAGUGACGUUUGAUUUAACAUAUUGGACCAAUAUCAUUAUGCAUUGCAAAUAUUGAGAUUGUCUGCUCUUGACAGGUCUGUGACCUUAGUCUCUGACCCCAGAAUCUUCCCUACAGGCAGCAGUGUGUCCAGAAGCCAUGUUUGAGGUCUGUUCUGCUUGUUUAUGUAUGGUUACACCCAGAGCUGAAUUUAUCCCCAGCUUCCAUCUGCAGCAGCAGGCCCGUGCAUGGAGAUGAGACUGGUUUAGGUCGGUUUGUGCCGCACGCCGGCUUCUAAGCACAACUUCCCUCUAUGUGUUAUUAUCGUCGAGGCGUCUCCUCUGUGGCGAUAUUCUUUUUUAGACAAUUUCUUUUUUUUCUAUGCUUACGUUGACUGGGAUAGUUCACCCAAAAAUUAAAAACCUGCCACCAUUUACUCACCCUUAUGUUGUUCCAAACCUGUCCAACUUUCCCUUUUGUGAUUUGGGAUCUAAAUCUCCUUUUGUGUCCCACAGAUAUGCCUUUUAUGUUUGAAACAACAUAUUGGUAAGUCAAUCAAAAUUAUGGGUGAACUAACUAACUUUUUUAGCUUCUUUAUAUUUCCAUUUAAUGUAAUAUUCAAAUUCCAAGUCAAAAGCUUAUAUCAAGUACCAAAUAAUAAUGGUAAUUCUUUCAUUUAGGCAGUGUCACUCGUACGACAAUACCUUGGCCUAUAUCAUUAAUCAGCCUCUAUUAAAUCUUUGUUACAUUCACACUAAUAUGUCAAUCCGCUUUGUUUUGAAAUGACGGUAGUCACUCCUAAACGGAUGCUGUUCCUCCCUCUUCACCAUGCCACAGAGCUGGUAUUCUGGGUUUCAGCAUGCCCUAUUGGCCUAGCCACAGCCAGGCAACCUUUCAUUACACUAGCCGAGGGAGGUGCCCUGGACAUCCCCAUCGAAGACAGCAUCACCACACCCCAAAAACUGCUGGAACAAGUAUCCUCGGAUCUAUGUAGACUUCGACAAGAGCGAAAGACAAAGGUCUCUCUGUACAUAUACAUUUCCAAAUGUAGAGUCAACUGAACCACUUCUAAAUCUAAAAGCGUUGUGAUAAUGUUAAGGUGUGUCUUUCCUAAUUGACAUCACUCUAAAAACAACAGGUGCUAUAUGGGACCAAAAGUGGUUCUUUGGUCGUAAUCAUAGAAGAACCGUUUUUAGUGCCAUACAGCACCGAUGAAGCACCUGUGAAGCAUCUGUGUAGAACCAAAUAGUGCUAUGUACAACCAUAUGUGGUGCUAUAUGGCCCCCAUAUGGUUCUACACAGGUGCUUUUUCUCAUUCAUAAAAUUACAAUUGCCAUUUCAGACUGACAUGCCAUUGAUGGAACCACAUCGCCCCCUUCUGACGUAAAAUAACUUAAGGUCACCAGAGGGCAGUAUGGUCAUAUUUUGGACCAAAGAUGUUUCUGGACCAAAUGAACAGCACAACCAGAAUUCUUCUACUUUGUGGGGACCAGGCAACAGUUUCUACAAGGAAAUUACAUCCAAAAUAACGGAGUCUCGGCGGACUAAUCCGGAUGCUGAACUGAGCAUCAGCAGCUGCUCCUUAUCCUAAUCAUCGCCGUAGCGACCGGCCAGCCGCCAGAAUCCUGUGGGGACCUGAAUUAAUACUCUGCGUAAUUCCACACAAUCCCAAGAAAAAAUCUAGUCCUGCUGCCGGGCCACUUGACUUUUGUGUUUCAGUGAGCUCUGGAUGGCACCAGCAAUCUUUGUAAUCGGUCAGUAAGCCUCUGCGCUGCUCAGUUUAACUGCUUCUGCAGGGCAUGUGAACAAAAAGAGCAGAGCUGGGGUGAAUAUUAUCUCACAUACAUGUGUGUUUAUACUGUAAAGUAUUUUAUAUAGGUUGCCUUACCAUGGGUUUCGUAUGUAAAUCCAUAUGCUAAGACAUAAGACCCUCAUCAACCAAAAUGAGAUAUUGUAAGUGUGGACACAAUAUCUCUCAAAAGAUUUGAACUAAUCUGUUAAGGUGUGUCUUCAUGUUUGAUAAUUUAUGUCAAGAUUUGGAUCAGGAUGACAAAAGGAUGAUAAAAGGAGAGUUCUCCCAAAAAUGAAAAAUCAUUUACUGACCCUCAAGUGGUUUCAACCUUGUAUAAAUCUCUUUAUUCUGCCAAACACAAAUGUAGAUAUUUUGAAAAAUUACAUUAUGUUUUAAAAAUGCUUGUAACCAAACAGAUACAGGGCACCAUUGACUUGCACCAUAAUAUUGUUUUUUCCUACUAUGGAAGUGCCCCAGAUCUGCUUGGUUACACUUUAAAAAGUUGGAUCAACUUAAAAAUUGAUUUAAUUUGUAACACCUUAAAUAAGUUAAAGGAAUAGUCUACUCAUUUUCAAUAUUAAAAUAUGUUACUUUAACUAAGAAUUGUUGAUACAUCCCUCUAUCAUCUGUGUGCGUGCACGUAAGUGCUGGAGCGUGCUGCGACGCUUCGAUAGCAUGUAGCUUAGCCCCAUUCAUUCAAUGGUACCAUUUAGAGAUAAAGUUAGAAGUGACCAAACACAUCAACGUUUUUCCUAUUUAAGACGAGUAGUCAUACGAGCAAGUUUGGUGGUACAAAAUAAAACGUAGCGCUUUUCGAAGCGGAUUUAAAAGAGGAGC
Long non-coding RNA from Misgurnus anguillicaudatus (oriental weatherfish), 3096 nucleotides. RefSeq lists it as uncharacterized. NCBI's taxonomy places the organism in Eukaryota, Metazoa, Chordata, Actinopteri, Cypriniformes, Cobitidae. The record is from RefSeq and is a predicted model, not a curated record.